Molecule: ribosomal RNA, 483 nt
Filed under: uncultured bacterium
Lineage: Bacteria
Description: partial 16S ribosomal RNA
Rfam family: Bacterial small subunit ribosomal RNA
Source: RNAcentral
AUUGAACGCUGGCGGCAGGCCUAACACAUGCAAGUCGAGCGGAUGAAGGGAGCUUGCUCCUGGAUUCAGCGGCGGACGGGUGAGUAAUGCCUAGGAAUCUGCCUGGUAGUGGGGGAUAACGUCCGGAAACGGGCGCUAAUACCGCAUACGUCCUGAGGGAGAAAGUGGGGGAUCUUCGGACCUCACGCUAUCAGAUGAGCCUAGGUCGGAUUAGCUAGUUGGUGGGGUAAAGGCCUACCAAGGCGACGAUCCGUAACUGGUCUGAGAGGAUGAUCAGUCACACUGGAACUGAGACACGGUCCAGACUCCUACGGGAGGCAGCAGUGGGGAAUAUUGGACAAUGGGCGAAAGCCUGAUCCAGCCAUGCCGCGUGUAUGAAGAAGGUCUUCGGAUUGUAAAGCACUUUAAGUUGGGAGGAAGGGCAGUAAGUUAAUACCUUGCUGUUUUGACGUUACCAACAGAAUAAGCACCGGCUAACUUCGU